This 75-nucleotide transfer RNA is filed under the name Patescibacteria group bacterium. RNAcentral's name for it is "tRNA-Arg". It matches the Rfam family "tRNA". Rfam says of the family: Transfer RNA (tRNA) molecules are approximately 80 nucleotides in length. Their secondary structure includes four short double-helical elements and three loops (D, anti-codon, and T loops). The record is from RNAcentral.
GCGCCCUUAGCUUAACGGAUAAAGUCCCGGUCUUCGGAACCGGUUAUAGGGGUUCGAUUCCCUUAGGGCGCACCA